Long non-coding RNA from Panicum virgatum (switchgrass), 755 nucleotides. RefSeq lists it as uncharacterized. The transcript has 2 exons. The record is from RefSeq and is a predicted model, not a curated record. NCBI's taxonomy places the organism in Eukaryota, Viridiplantae, Streptophyta, Magnoliopsida, Poales, Poaceae.
AGCCGUAGACGCAACACUUUUUUUUGCAAAAACCCUCCUCACGGCCUGCAUUUACUCCCCAUCCGUCGACUCGUUCAUCUACUGCUGCGUCCCGUGCUCCUAGGCGAAACGACGAGGAAGCCGGCCAUUGUACGACGCGAUCCGCUGCGCCGUAGGCUUGACCUGAACCAGCGCCCCUUCUCCAUCGUGCACCGUCACAAUCUGCUCGCCUAUUUUGUGCAGACCACCGGUGCCUUCUCCGUUAAGAGAUUCCGGCCACCAUGAUGCAUCCCCGACACAAAUAAGAGAUAAAACGGAACUCCCUCGCCGUUCUCUUCCCCCCCCCCCAAAUUUCAAGCUCUCUCAUGCCCUAAAUCAUCGGUAAUUUGAUUAACAGUGAGCUUCUGCCGGCCAGCCAUGGAGCAGACCACCAUCGCCUUCUUUCCCCACAAGAUUCCGGCCACCAUGAUACAUCCCCAACGCAAGUAAAAGCUAUGGAGGAGACCACCAUCGCCUUCUUUCCCGCGAGAUUCCAGCCACCAUGAUACAUCCCCAGAGCAAGUAAGACGGAACUCUCUUGUCGUCCUCUUUCUUUUUCCCAAAAUUUCAAGCCACCGCGAGAUUUGUUGGUAAGAAGCCUGACAUCCUCGGAUGGAUUUUCUUUUUCGCCUUGGGAACCUUUGGAAUUAUUAUAGUUGUACAAUGAUACAUUAGAGCUUAUGUCUGCAAAUAUUAAAACUUGCAUUGAGAGAAGAUGAUGGCGUACAACUUUGAUA